UGGUGAGAUAAAAGCUCACCAAGGCGACGAUCAGUAACCGGCUUGAGAGAGCGAACGGUCACAUUGGAACUGAGACACGGUCCAAACUCCUACGGGAGGCAGCAGUGGGGAAUAUUGCACAAUGGAGGAAACUCUGAUGCAGCGACGCCGCGUGAGUGAUGAAGGUCUUCGGAUCGUAAAACUCUGUCCUUUGGGAAGAUAAUGACAGUACCAUUGGAGGAAGCCCCGGCUAACUACGUGCCAGCAGCCGCGGUAAUACGUAGGGGGCGAGCGUUGUCCGGAAUUAUUGGGCGUAAAGGGUACGUAGGCGGUUUAGAAAGUCAGAUGUUAAAGCGUGAGGCUCAACCUCAUAAAGCAUUUGAAACUUCUAGACUUGAGUAGUGGAGAGGAAAGUGGAAUUCCUAGUGUAGCGGUGAAAUGCGUAGAUAUUAGGAAGAAUACCAGUGGCGAAGGCGACUUUCUGGACACAAACUGACGCUGAGGUACGAAAGCGUGGGGAGCAAACAGGAUUAGAUACCCUGGUAGUCCACGCUGUAAACGAUGAAUGUUAGGUGUCGGGUGUCAAAGCUCGGUGCCGCAGUUAA
This 584-nucleotide ribosomal RNA is filed under the name uncultured bacterium. Its description in RNAcentral is "bacterial SSU rRNA". It matches the Rfam family "Bacterial small subunit ribosomal RNA", at positions 250 to 855 of the family's 1533-position model. The record is from RNAcentral.